RNAcentral lists this long non-coding RNA (2176 nucleotides) under Struthio camelus australis. Its description in RNAcentral is "lncRNA (ENSSCUG00000002808.1)". Lineage: Eukaryota; Metazoa; Chordata; Aves; Struthioniformes; Struthionidae. The record is from RNAcentral.
UGAGCAUCCCUUGAGGUGAGAUGGCAGCAGGUCCCUGGGAGGUGCUGGAGACAGACUUUGGACACCCUGAGGCCACCGAGGAGCUGCCUGGGCAGGCGGGGAGCGCUCAGAGGCGGCCAAGGAAGGACGGGAGAAAAGAUGCCGACGUGCCGGGGAUCAGCAAUGGGGCAAACGACAGGUCCCAUGGCCUAGAGGAGGAGAGGUCCCAACUUGGUGUCUCUGAGGAAGAUCAAGACAAGCGGGAGUCGAGCAUGCCGGAACCAGCGGCCCUCAGUGCGGACAAGAAAGCGGUGGAGAAGAAGCGUGGGGAGAAGCAGGGAGUGAAAGGCAGCGCCUCUGUGCCCCCAGUUCCCAAAAGCCUCCCCGUGAAGAGGAAAGUGGAGCCCGAAAGCCUCGACCCCGCAGAGGAGCCACUCAUCUGGGAAGGGCUCACCCUCAACAAAUGCAUCCUUGUGGCCUCCUUCAUUGCCCUGCUCAGCGUCAGCUUCCAAGUGCUCCAAGCGCCUUGCUCUAGGGAAGGAAUUAGCAGUGACAGACAGGCCCCUCCACCUCCGCCUCUUCACGAGGUCAUCGACACCGAAGAGGAUGUCCCAGAAGUGGUGGCUGCCCCACCGGUCCAGCCCAAGAGCAGCCUAUUUGAGGACAGUGACAGUGAGGAUGACAGAGACGAUGACAACGAUGCUGACAGCAACCUGGCUGAGCCGUGGAUCUUCAAGAAAUGGUUUGGCCGCUUGGAGCCAGAGGACAAAGAGGAAGAGCCCGAAACUGAACCCAAGGAGCCAGCAGCCAAGGUUGAGGUGAGAAAGGGCCGAGAGAAGCCCAAAGGCCCAGAGAGGAAAGAAGAGAAGCCCAAGGAAAGUCGUGCAGCCCAGACAGAGAGGAGCAGCCGGAAGGAUACACGACCCAAGGACAGAGCUCCUGAGGACAAGGCUGGCAGAGCCCCAAGGGCACCCAAGGAGCCAGAGCAACAGCCCUACAAGAAGCGGGGCCGGGAGGGCAAGGAGGGCAGGCGAGAAGGGAGGGAGCGAGAAGAGCACAGGAAGGAUGAGUGGAAGGGCCGCCCUGCCAAGGCUGACCGCGAGGACAACCGGAAGCGGGAGUGGAGGCAGCAGCGAGGAGAGCAGAAGGGCAAAAAGCCCUGGGAGCAUCACACGUCUGUCCCAGGGAAGGAUGGCACCGCCAGGCCUAAGGAAGGCAAGAGGCGUGACUGAGCCCCCGGCCCACAGGCUGGGAUGAACAAGGGGCUGAACAACACUAAAUCCAGAGACACGUGGACUCCAUCUAUCUGCCAAAAUCCCCAGCCACAGCCGUGCCUCCACUCCAUGCUUUGAGAGGAGCCAGCAGCUCAAGUGGUCGGAGCAUCAGGUGAAGAUGCCUGGGUCCUGUUUCCCAAUCAGCUGCCAGCUCACUGGGAGACCCUGCCCAACUCACAUCAAUUCUUUAUCCCUCCAUCUCCCCGUCCCCAAGCCAGUUGUCGCGGGCAGGUGCUCCUGGAUCUCUGAGCAGAAGCACUGGGCAGUUAGAGCAGCCUGGGAGCAAGGCACAAGCCUCCCUGUGGACUUUGGGCCCCCCUGGAUUAGAUGCAUAAAGGCAAGCUGAAAGGACUGGGGAAAUGAGCUUCUCUUCACUUGGGCUUCGUGCUAAUUCUCCAUCCCCACCAGAAAUACCUCUUGCCGUUCACUUUUGCUCUGCAAACCAGGCCCACCACACAGUACCCGAGACAUCAGGAUGGUACAGUCGGAAAGGAGCCGCCGUAGUGAUACCAGCAAACAGAGUUUGUCUGCAGACUGCUUUGCGUUUGAAUUCAAUUAAUUGUUUUAUUAAAAGCAAAUCAAAAGAGUUUAUUCUGGGUUAAAGAAGCCGGGCUGCUGCCAUCCUUGGAUGGACUUCAGGGAAACAAGCACAAAGAGCUAGCUGGGCCCUGGUGCCAUCACUGCAGGAUGAAGCGAAGCUUGCUAGAAACCAAACACCGCUGACACAGCCCAUCGCCCUGGGCUCCCUUUGGGACUUGCCUUUACAGAGUAGCUUAUAGGAACAAACCAGAAGUGCAAUAUCUCGCAGUGCUGUAGAAACUACAGGAGACGUUAACAGCCCCAAACCAUGGCAGAUUGCAGUAUUUACUACAUCUAUAGAGGUUAAAAAUAAACUAUUUUCAUUUUUAAUAAAGUAUUAAAUU